Molecule: ribosomal RNA, 200 nt
Filed under: uncultured prokaryote
Description: partial 16S ribosomal RNA
Rfam family: Bacterial small subunit ribosomal RNA
Source: RNAcentral
ACGUCAAAUCAUCAUGCCCCUUACGUCCAGGGCUACAGGCGUGCUACAAUGGCCGAUAUAAUAAGAAGCAAUAUCGCAAGAUGGAGCCAAUCUCAAAAGUCGGUCUCAGUUCGGAUUGGAGUCUGCAACUCGACUCCAUGAAGUUGGAAUCGCUAGUAAUCGUGAAUCAGAAUGUCACGGUGAAUACGUUCCCGGGUGUU